GACGUAGGGCGCGAGCGUUGUCCGGAUUUAUUGGGCGUAAAGAGCUCGUAGGCGGCUCAUUGCGUCAACCGUGAAAACCAGCAGCUCAACUGUUGGCUUGCGGUUGAUGCAGGUGGGCUGGAGUUCGGUAGGGGAGACUGGAAUUCCUGGUGUAGCGGUGAAAUGCGCAGAUAUCAGGAGGAACACCGGUGGCGAAGGCGGGUCUCUGGGCCGAUACUGACGCUGAGGAGCGAAAGCGUGGGGAGCGAACAGG
Molecule: ribosomal RNA, 253 nt
Filed under: uncultured bacterium
Lineage: Bacteria
Description: partial 16S ribosomal RNA
Rfam family: Bacterial small subunit ribosomal RNA
Source: RNAcentral